RNAcentral lists this ribosomal RNA (334 nucleotides) under uncultured bacterium. Its description in RNAcentral is "partial 16S ribosomal RNA". It matches the Rfam family "Bacterial small subunit ribosomal RNA", at positions 355 to 706 of the family's 1533-position model. The record is from RNAcentral.
UGGGGAAUAUUGGACAAUGGGGGCAACCCUGAUCCAGCAAUGCCGCGUGUGUGAAGAAGGUCUUCGGAUUGUAAAGCACUUUCGACGGGGACGAUGAUGACGGUACCCGUAGAAGAAGCCCCGGCUAACUUCGUGCCAGCAGCCGCGGUAAUACGAAGGGGGCUAGCGUUGCUCGGAAUGACUGGGCGUAAAGGGCGUGUAGGCGGUUUACACAGUCAGAUGUGAAAUCCCCGGGCUUAACCUGGGAGCUGCAUUUGAUACGUGCAGACUAGAGUGUGAGAGAGGGUUGUGGAAUUCCCAGUGUAGAGGUGAAAUUCGUAGAUAUUGGGAAGAA